AUUGAACGCUGGCGGCCGGCCUAACACAUGCAAGUCGAGCGAGCGGCGGACGGGUGAGUAAUGUAUGGGGACUGCCCGCUAGAGGGGGAUCACUACUGGAAACGGUGGCUAAUACAGCAUACUCUCGGAUAACCCAUAUGGGAUUAGCUAGUAGGGGGGGUAAAGGCCCACCUAGGCGACGCUCGCUAGCUGGUCUGAGAGGAUGCUCAGCCACAAUGGGCAUGAGACAAGGGCCAGACUCCUACGGAGGCAGGAGUGGGGAAUAUUGCACAAUGGGCGCAAGCCUGAUGCAGCCAUGCCGCGGGUAUGAAGAAGGCCUUAGGGUUGGAAAGUACUUUCAGCGGGGAGGCGUUACCCGCAGAAGAAGCACCGGCUAACUACGUGCCAGCAGCCGCGGUAAUAC
This 403-nucleotide ribosomal RNA is filed under the name uncultured bacterium. RNAcentral describes it as "partial 16S ribosomal RNA". It matches the Rfam family "Bacterial small subunit ribosomal RNA", at positions 29 to 526 of the family's 1533-position model. The record is from RNAcentral.